AUUAAUCUACACCUAUUUUAGUUUUAGUCUUCUCUUAAACUAAACUUAAUGAAACACUAAUCUAUAUAAUUGACACUAAGGGCUAAUCUUAAUAACGACAGCAUCGUGGCCGCUCCUCCCCUUUUUCUUUUCUUAUUUUUCCUUCUUUUUUGCUUCUCCUCUUUUAUCCUCUCCUCUCCUUUCUUCUCUUGCUCCUUCCAACGUCGACGGCGGCGUUGUCGCCGCUCCUUUCUCCCCCCUGUUUCUUUUUUUUUUCUGUUCUUCUUCUUCUCCUCUUCUUUUCUUUCCCUCUUUCCCUAUUUCAGUUCUGAUGGCGGCAGGAUCGGCAACGCCGUCACUCCUCCUUCUUCUCCUUUUUUCUCUCUUUUCUUCUCUUCUUCUUCCCCUUUUUCCCCUCUUUCCAUGUUUCCCUCUCUCUCCUCCUCUGUUUCUCUGCUCAUCUUUUUAUUUUUUUAAUUUCGAAUAGGUCAAGGCUUGCAUGCGUCGGAGGAUGUCUCUGACGAGUCCUCCAGGGACAUGCUAGCAUCGAUGUAAAAAUCUAACGUUUUAAUAUUUUAUUUAAAUAGCUUUUUUGACUUUUGGUUGUAUAAUUUUGUUUGCUUUUUUGGGGUUUGGAAUCAGUGGAGAGGAAGAAGAAGACCUCGCCGACGACGACGCAACCGGCGUUAGCGGCACAGAGACAAAGAGAAAGUGUGUUACGUAAAAAAAAUUAUGUUUUGCUUCUUUUUAUUAAUCCAUUAAUCUCUGUUUAGUUGCUAACGAAACUAAAUAACGAUUUGUUUGGUUUUUUCAGGUCAACGAAAAUGGGUAGAACCGACUUGCUCUACAAAAUUGGGGGGAAAGGAAAAGACUGCCUCUAGAAGGUAAAACAACUAGUCUCUAACUUGUUUUAAUUUUUCUAGAUAAAACUGAUGGUUCUGUUAUUGAUGAGUUUGCCUAAGAUGAAAACUUAAUUUAUUUUAUUACUGAAACUGGAGUAGUAAUCUAGAUGUUUAUAAAAUAAUUUUUCUGUUUGAAAAACUUGACCAUUUUAUUAGUUUUAACAAAAUUUGGCCAAAAAUCAUAUUUUAGCUCGAUUAUGUUACGAGUUUCAUAAUUCUUUAAGUUCUUGAUGCGAAAAUGAUGAAAGAUGGCCAUAAGUUCCUUUGUUAAUAUAUUUUCCAACAACCUUUAUUUGAUUUUAGAGGUUUAUUUCACUUAUUGGUUCGUUGUUUAUUAAAAUGAUUAUUGGAUUCAAUAGUAGUUUAGACGGUGACUAAGCGAUAUAGCAUAUCAAUGUGUAUGUAUAAAUGAUAUGUGAAUGAUUUCGAAUGGAGAUGUUUUGAAUGAUAUACCUUUAAUAUGAAGCUUCUUUUUUGUCGUGUUUCAGGUGGCGGCGCACUUCGUGGGUGACUACAAAAUUCUCCUUUGGCGGUUUCUACGUCAGUGACGACAUAAGAAACUUGUAAAAUUUUAUUUUUUUUUAGUGUUUUGUAAUUUUUAUUUCUUGAGACUUUAUGGGUUUGUGAACUAAUUUGUAUACUGUUUAGGAGGGUUUUGGGAAGAAUUGGGGAGUUUCUCUAGAAAAUGUCAUUUUUAUCUUCUUUUGUCGUUUUUUUAAUGUAGUGGUCCUGACUGUCUUUUUAAAGGAAAUAAUGGUUGUCACCUCCCCUGAAAGCUAACCAAAAUCUUAUACUGCAUUCUAACACAAAAAAAGAGGUGGCAACUCUCUUAUUAAUAACAUAAAUGGGCCCGAAAUUGGGUAUGAAAUCGGGUCGAACAAUCCA
This 1766-nucleotide long non-coding RNA is filed under the name Linum usitatissimum (flax). RNAcentral describes it as "long non-coding RNA (LUSI_LNC003829)". Lineage: Eukaryota; Viridiplantae; Streptophyta; Magnoliopsida; Malpighiales; Linaceae. The record is from RNAcentral.